Molecule: ribosomal RNA, 450 nt
Filed under: Centipeda nidiformis
Lineage: Eukaryota; Viridiplantae; Streptophyta; Magnoliopsida; Asterales; Asteraceae
Description: partial 26S ribosomal RNA
Source: RNAcentral
UUGGUUUGUUACAGGCGGUUGGCUGUUUGCUUGCGCAACAACUUCCGCCCGGCAUACCUCUUCAUUUGUGCGUCAAGGCUUGUUUGCCUUUGCGCAUUGUGGGUUUCUUGUGUUGCCUACCUAAGUGAUGGUAUUGUUAUGAUCGAUUAAAGUCUCUUUUCGUCUUGUGCUACGCUUGUGGCAUGGGAUGAACCAUGAAGCAAUCUCUAUGAUCCACACUGUUGAUGCACAUGUGUUGAUGUUGUGGCCCAUUGAGCAUUGCUUGGUCUCGUGGAUACAGAACCUGGUGUGGGCAUGGGGUCUCAUGAGAUCCUUGUUCUGCCCUUGUUUAGCGUUCACGCUUCUCUAAAACGACUGCUCGUCACGCAGUGGCUCGUACCAGCGUGGUGGGUUAUGUCGAAGAGGAAUGCUACCUGGUUGAUCCUGCCAGUAGUCAUAUGCUUGUCUCAA